Long non-coding RNA from Marmota monax (woodchuck), 1311 nucleotides. RefSeq lists it as uncharacterized. NCBI's taxonomy places the organism in Eukaryota, Metazoa, Chordata, Mammalia, Rodentia, Sciuridae. The record is from RefSeq and is a predicted model, not a curated record. The transcript has 2 exons.
GAAAAGCCAUAGAAGCAUUAUUUGGGUUCUGCUUCCAUUUCACAGAAUUGAAGUAAUUAAAAAAUAAAGUGAGAACCACCAUCAUCUGAGUCCACCUUCUGGGUCUGCCUUCUGGAAGUCACUCCAGGCCAUAUGCUGUGGUUCUCAUCGAGCUCACCUCACGGAUUUCCUCUUUCAGAACCUACAGUUCUGCACUGAUGACUAUCCAAAAGAUGAAAAGUUAUUUUACUGUAUUUUGUCCACAUUUGUAUCUGUUUAUAGUAAGUGUGAAGUUAUUGCAGUCUGUCUUUAUGGAAAUCAUGGUUUUAUUUCUGUUAGCUUUGUUUGCUUGGUUAAUGUCUCUUCCUGGCUCAAACACAAGAACUUCUAAUUAUUUUAUGGAAAAGUAUAGGACAUAAUAAUAUAAAAUAAUCCUUAGAAUUUAAAUAAACUCAUCUUGAGUGAAUAAAUUAGUGAAAGAAGGAGCUCAAAUAGAAGAUCAAACAAUUUUUAGUAAUUACAUUUUUUGAGAUAGGAGUCUCACUAUGUUGUCUAGACUGGUCUCAAAACUUGUGGACUCAGGUGAUCCUUCUGCCUCAGCCUCCUGAGUAGCUGUAAUUACAGGCACAUGCUACUAGCCCCAACUCAAACAAAUGCCGAAUGACAUAGAUAUAUCAAUUAAAAUAAAGCCUGAAAUGUCAAUAGGACAUAAGCCAUUUUGAUGGAGUGUCAUGGAUGAAAGUCUAAGGCACUAGCACAAGAAAACAAAGACAUAGAAAGUAAACAUGUUACAAACUGAAAAGCUUGGGCAAAUCAGAUUUAUAUAAUAAAGAGUUAUGUAGUCAGCAAUGAUGAUGUGAAAGAAAAGUGGUUUGCAUAUGAUAGUUUGCUCUCUCACAUUCAAUAAUAAAAAUCUACUACCACCAGGCUUUCCAUGGUAUAACUUGGCAUCAGGGAUGACCUGCCUAGAUUAGUUUUUCUUUUUGCUUGAUAAUUCUAUACACUCUAUAAGUUUGUUCAAAACUAUAUUUCUAUAGAAAUUAUUAGUAUACAUUCUUAUUUAUAUAAUUAUUCAACUCAUAAAAUAUUUUUGGGUUCACAGAAAAUGAUUUUCUAGAGAUAGAAGAGUUUAGAACCUGUUUACACUUGAUGCAGAGGGAGCCAGGAGACAUUGCAAUGUGGGAAUCACAUGGGAUUGGGUAGUCGGUGAAGGUCAAAGUCUCUGGGAAGAUAGGAGAGGAUUGACAGCUCUGCUUGAUGCAUCACCCAUAAAUACAGGGAAUUAUUUCCUUUUGAUGCUUCUGAGAAAAUAAAUAACUGUACUUAAUCAAA